This 350-nucleotide ribosomal RNA is filed under the name Idiomarina sp. H105. RNAcentral's name for it is "bacterial LSU rRNA". It matches the Rfam family "Bacterial large subunit ribosomal RNA", at positions 1222 to 1572 of the family's 2925-position model. Lineage: Bacteria; Pseudomonadati; Pseudomonadota; Gammaproteobacteria; Alteromonadales; Idiomarinaceae. RNAcentral also lists the same sequence under 1 other name. The record is from RNAcentral.
UGAGCGGUAGAGGAGCGUCGUGUAAGCCGAUGAAGGUGUGUUGAGAAGCAUGCUGGAGGUAUCACGAGUGCGAAUGCUGACAUGAGUAACGAUAAAGGGAGUGAAAAACUCCCUCGCCGGAAGACCAAGGGUUUCUGUUCGACGCUAAUCGGAGCAGAGUGAGUCGGCCCCUAAGGCGAGGCCGAAAGGCGUAGUCGAUGGGAAACGGGUCAAUAUUCCCGUACCGGACAUGAUUGCGAUGGGGGGACGGAGAAGGCUAGGUGAGCCAGGCGUUGGUUGUCCUGGUGAAAGUGAGUAGGCUUGGGUCUUAGGUAAAUCCGGGACCCUUCAAGGCCGAGACACGAAACGAA